UACGUAGGUGACAAGCGUUAUCCGGAAUUACUGGGCGUAAAGCGCACGCAGGCGGCUGAUUAAGUCUGACGUAAAAUUUCCCGGCUUAACUGGGAGGGGUCGUUGGAGACUGGUUGGCUUGAGGCGAUGAGAGGGGUGUGGAAUUCCCGGUGUAGUGGUGGAAUGCGUAGAUAUCGGGAGGAACAUCAGUGGCGAAAGCGGCACCCUGGCAUUAGCCUGACGCUCAGGUGCGAAAGCGUGGGGAGCGAACGGG
This 253-nucleotide ribosomal RNA is filed under the name uncultured bacterium. RNAcentral describes it as "partial 16S ribosomal RNA". It matches the Rfam family "Bacterial small subunit ribosomal RNA", at positions 524 to 776 of the family's 1533-position model. The record is from RNAcentral.